AAGUUAAACUAAAAACAUGU
RNAcentral lists this small nuclear RNA (20 nucleotides) under Arabidopsis thaliana (thale cress). RNAcentral describes it as "snRNA_17735". The record is from RNAcentral. Lineage: Eukaryota; Viridiplantae; Streptophyta; Magnoliopsida; Brassicales; Brassicaceae.